RNAcentral lists this long non-coding RNA (322 nucleotides) under Struthio camelus australis. RNAcentral's name for it is "lncRNA (ENSSCUG00000010938.1)". Lineage: Eukaryota; Metazoa; Chordata; Aves; Struthioniformes; Struthionidae. The record is from RNAcentral.
GGGUGGGGAGGCGCCUGCGGGCGUCGGCGAGCUCUCGGGUCACAGGUGGGAGCUCGCCCUGGGGCAGCCUGCGCGCCUGUGUCCGCCUGUCCGGUCCGUUUCCCUCCUUCUGAAUUUGGAAACUGUCGAGACGAUGAUCAGGGAAUAAGUAACUACUCUGAAUGCUAUCAAACGCAGUUUCUUCAGAUGCAAAGAAGCACCGCGGGAGACGUUCUGUUCCUUCAGAAUAACUGGACCCACUGGCAAGAAGCAGCUACACUGAGCACCAAACGAGGAAACCGUUUCCAAGUUAUCAAAACAUGCUGUUGAACUAAAUUUUGCA